ACGGAAGGCAGCAGUGAGGAAUAUUGGUCAAUGGACGAGAGUCUGAACCAGCCAAGUCGCGUGCAGGAUGACGGCCCUCCGGGUUGUAAACUGCUUUUAGUUGGGAAUAAAAAAGAGGUCGUGACCUCUAUUGUAUGUACCAUCAGAAAAAGGACCGGCUAAUUCCGUGCCAGCAGCCGCGGUAAUCCGGAAGGUCCGGGCGUUAUCCGGAUUUAUUGGGUUUAAAGGGAGCGUAGGCGGGCCUUUAAGUCAGGGGGAAAGGCGUGUGGCUCAACCAUACCACGCCAUUGAAACUGGAGGCCUUGAGUGCACACAGGGAAGCUGGAAUUCGUCGUGUAGCGGUGAAAUGCUUAGAUAUGACGAAGAACUCCGAUCGCGAAGGCAGGUGUCCGGGGUGUAACUGACGCUGAGGCUCGAAAGUGCGGGUAUCAAACAGGAUUAGAUACCCUGGUA
This 453-nucleotide ribosomal RNA is filed under the name uncultured Alloprevotella sp. RNAcentral's name for it is "partial 16S ribosomal RNA". It matches the Rfam family "Bacterial small subunit ribosomal RNA", at positions 341 to 792 of the family's 1533-position model. Lineage: Bacteria; Pseudomonadati; Bacteroidota; Bacteroidia; Bacteroidales; Prevotellaceae. The record is from RNAcentral.